ACAAGUCGAGCAGGGACGAAAGUCGGGCAAAGUGAUCCUACGGUUCCGUGUGGAAGGGCCGUGGCUUAUCGGAUAAAAGCUACGCCAGGGAUAACAGGCUAAUCUUGCCCAAGAGUUCAUAUCGACGGCAAGGAUUGGCACCUCGAUGUCGGCUCGUCGCAUCCUGGGGCUGUAGUUGGUCCCAAGGGUUGGGCUGUUCGCCCAUUAAAGCGGCACGCGAGCUGGGUUCAGACCGUCGUGAGACAGGUCGGUCUCUAUCCGUCGUGGGCGUUAGAGAUUUGAGGGGAGCUGUCUUUAGUACGAGAGGAUUAAGAUGGACAGACCUCUGGUGUGCCAGUUGUUCCGCCAGGAGCAGUGCUGGGUAGCCAAGUCUGGAAGGGAUAAGCGCUGAAAGCAUCUCAAGUGCGAAGCCCACCCCAAGAUUAGAUCUCCCACCGGAAAUGGCGUCCAUUAGAGUUUACUUUGAUGGAUGCUUGACCGGAGAAGGCCGCAAGUAGACUACUUGCUUGAUAGGCGGCGUGUGUAAGCGGAGUAAUCCGUUCAGCUAAGCCGUACUAAUGGCCAAGACCUUGACCUG
RNAcentral lists this ribosomal RNA (577 nucleotides) under Chloroflexota bacterium. RNAcentral describes it as "bacterial LSU rRNA". It matches the Rfam family "Bacterial large subunit ribosomal RNA", at positions 2384 to 2925 of the family's 2925-position model. The record is from RNAcentral. Lineage: Bacteria; Bacillati; Chloroflexota.